GGGGGCGACAGGUUUCGACGGGGAUCAGUGAGGUCCAGGCUGCGUCUCGAGGUUUCUCUCCCCUCGUUAAAAAGAGAGAACGGUAUAGCUGCCAACACACAGCUAGCUCUGGCGGCCUAACAUCCGCCAGCGUCGGCCACGUCGCGCCUUCAGGGCGUGGGAACCGGCGUCAUAUUCUGAAGGCUGGCUCCGAACCUGGCCUCAGGGGAGGGGCGAGAUAAAUGAGGCUGGUCCCGUGGACCUCCUGCCGGCUGGAGACUCAGGGGACGAGAGAGCAGGAAGAUAAACCGGCUAUCGACGUAGACGCCUGCGGCUGAGGGUUUCCGGACGUGGGUUCAAUUCCCACCGCCUCCACCA
Molecule: non-coding RNA, 357 nt
Organism: Candidatus Rokubacteria bacterium 13_2_20CM_2_64_8
Lineage: Bacteria; Candidatus Rokuibacteriota
Source: Rfam